AUUGAACGCUGGCGGCAUGCUUUACACAUGCAAGUCGAGCGGCAGCGCGGGGGCAACCCUGGCGGCGAGCGGCGAACGGGUGAGUGAUGCAUCGGAACGUAUCCUCGAGUGGGGGAUAACCCAGCGAAAGUUGGGCUAAUACCGCAUGAGCUCUGAGGAGGAAAGCGGGGGACCUGCGAGGGCCUCGCGCUGGAGGAGCGGCCGAUGUCCGAUUAGCUAGUUGGUGGGGUAAAGGCUUACCAAGGCGACGAUCGGUAGCUGGUCUGAGAGGAUGAUCAGCCACACUGGGACUGAGACACGGCCCAGACUCCUACGGGAGGCAGCAGUGGGGAAUUUUGGACAAUGGGGGCAACCCUGAUCCAGCCAUGCCGCGUGAGUGAAGAAGGCCUUCGGGUUGUAAAGCUCUUUCGGACGGAACGAAAUGGGCGGGACUAAUACUCCUGUCUGAUGACGGUACCGUAAGAAGAAGCACCGGCUAACUACGUG
This 486-nucleotide ribosomal RNA is filed under the name uncultured bacterium. RNAcentral describes it as "partial 16S ribosomal RNA". It matches the Rfam family "Bacterial small subunit ribosomal RNA", at positions 29 to 507 of the family's 1533-position model. The record is from RNAcentral.